This is a long non-coding RNA of Etheostoma cragini (Arkansas darter), 121 nucleotides long. RefSeq lists it as uncharacterized. Lineage: Eukaryota; Metazoa; Chordata; Actinopteri; Perciformes; Percidae. The transcript is spliced from 5 exons. The record is from RefSeq and is a predicted model, not a curated record.
AAUUAAUAUAUACAAAUAUAAUUCUCUGAUUCUGACAAUCUCUUGGCCAGCAGAGAAGGCCUUGCUGGCUCUGCCAGCCCACCUCUGGUCUACACAUUUAGUCAUAACAGUGAAUAUUCUG